GUGACGCUGGCGGCGUGCUUAACACAUGCAAGUCGAACGGUGAACCUUCUUCGGGAGGGGAUCAGUGGCGAACGGGUGAGUAACACGUGGGCAACCUGCCCUCAGCUCUGGGAUAACUCCAAGAAAUUGGGGCUAAUACCGGAUAUGACUGCUGACCGCAUGGUCUGGUGGUGGAAAGAUUCAUCGGCUGGGGAUGGGCCCGCGGCCUAUCAGCUUGUUGGUGGGGUAGUGGCCUACCAAGGCGACGACGGGUAGCCGGCCUGAGAGGGUGACCGGCCACACUGGGACUGAGACACGGCCCAGACUCCUACGGGAGGCAGCAGUGGGGAAUAUUGCGCAAUGGGCGAAAGCCUGACGCAGCGACGCCGCGUGGGGGAUGACGGCCUUCGGGUUGUAAACCUCUUUCAGCAGGGACGAAGCGAAAGUGACGGUACCUGCAGAAGAAGCACCGGCCAACUACGUGCCAGCAGCCGCGGUAAUACGUAGGGUGCAAGCGUUGUCCGGAAUUAUUGGGCGUAAAGAGCUCGUAGGCGGUUCGUCGCGUCGGCUGUGAAAUCCCGAGGCUCAACCUCGGGCCUGCAGUCGAUACGGGCGGACUUGAGUUCGGCAGGGGAGACUGGAAUUCCUGGUGUAGCGGUGAAAUGCGCAGAUAUCAGGAGGAACACCGGUGGCGAAGGCGGGUCUCUGGGCCGAAACUGACGCUGAGGAGCGAAAGCGUGGGGAGCGAACAGGAUUAGAUACCCUGGUAGUCCACGCCGUAAACGUUGGGCGCUAGGUGUGGGGCUCAUUCCACGAGUUCCGUGCCGCAGCUAACGCAUUAAGCGCCCCGCCUGGGGAGUACGGCCGCAAGGCUAAAACUCAAAGGAAUUGACGGGGGCCCGCACAAGCGGCGGAGCAUGUUGCUUAAUUCGAUGCAACGCGAAGAACCUUACCUAGGCUUGACAUGCACGGAAAUCCUCCAGAGAUGGUGGGUCCGUAAGGGCCGUGCACAGGUGGUGCAUGGUUGUCGUCAGCUCGUGUCGUGAGAUGUUGGGUUAAGUCCCGCAACGAGCGCAACCCUCGUUCCAUGUUGCCAGCACGUAAUGGUGGGGACUCAUGGGAGACUGCCGGGGUCAACUCGGAGGAAGGUGGGGAUGACGUCAAAUCAUCAUGCCCCUUAUGUCUAGGGCUGCAAACAUGCUACAAUGGCCGGUACAAAGGGCUGCGAUACCGCGAGGUGGAGCGAAUCCCAAAAAGCCGGUCUCAGUUCGGAUUGGGGUCUGCAACUCGACCCCAUGAAGUUGGAGUCGCUAGUAAUCGCAGAUCACAACGCUGCGGUGAUACGUUCCCGGCCUUGUAACACCGCCCGUCCGUCACGAAGUCGGUACGCCCGAAGCCGGUGGCCAACCCUUGUGGAGGAGCGUCAAGGCGGAUCGGGAUUGGACGAAUCUACAGGG
This 1436-nucleotide ribosomal RNA is filed under the name Blastococcus sp. Its description in RNAcentral is "bacterial SSU rRNA". It matches the Rfam family "Bacterial small subunit ribosomal RNA". Lineage: Bacteria; Bacillati; Actinomycetota; Actinomycetes; Geodermatophilales; Geodermatophilaceae. The record is from RNAcentral.